AAUCAACGCUGGCGGCGUGCCUAACACAUGCAAGUCGAACGAGAAAGUGGAGCAAUCCAUGAGUAAAGUGGCGCACGGGUGAGUAACACGUGACUAACCUACCCUUGAGUGGGGGAUAACCUAGGGAACCUGGGCUAAUACCGCAUAAUACCUACGGGUCAAAGGAGCAAUUCGCUUUAGGAGGGGGUCGCGGCAGAUUAGUUAGUUGGCGGGGUAAGUGGCCCACCAAGACGAUGAUCNGUAUCCGGCCUGAGAGGGCGCACGGACACACUGGAACUGAAACACGGUCCAGACUCCUACGGGAGGCAGCAGUGGGGAAUUUUGCGCAAUGGGGGAACCCGUGACGCAGCGACGCCGCGUGGAGGAUGAAGACCCUUGGGUCGUAAACUCCUUUCGAUCGGACGAUAAUGACGGUACCGGAAGAAGAAGACCCCGGCUAACUUCGUGCC
RNAcentral lists this ribosomal RNA (449 nucleotides) under uncultured bacterium. RNAcentral's name for it is "bacterial SSU rRNA". It matches the Rfam family "Bacterial small subunit ribosomal RNA", at positions 32 to 509 of the family's 1533-position model. The record is from RNAcentral.